Molecule: non-coding RNA, 165 nt
Filed under: human gut metagenome
Description: Lysine riboswitch
Rfam family: Lysine riboswitch aptamer
About the family: Riboswitches are metabolite binding domains within certain messenger RNAs that serve as precision sensors for their corresponding targets. Allosteric rearrangement of mRNA structure is mediated by ligand binding, and this results in modulation of gene expression. This family includes riboswitches that sense lysine in a number of genes involved in lysine metabolism, including lysC.
Source: RNAcentral
AGGAUAGAGGUGCGGCUUUUAUCAGUAAUGUGCAGGAGGUUGCCGAAACCGUUGAAACGCAUGAAAGGAAAAGCUGCCGAAGGCUCCGGCCGGCCCCCGGAACCUGAUCGUAUUUGGUGAAGAACCGUACGAUUGUCAUCAUUUUUUUAUGAUGGAGCGCUAUCG